Saccoglossus kowalevskii is the source of this 408-nucleotide long non-coding RNA. The record is from RefSeq and is a predicted model, not a curated record. Lineage: Eukaryota; Metazoa; Hemichordata; Enteropneusta; Harrimaniidae.
AGAUUAUAUACUGAUUUGAACGAUUCUUCAAACACAAGGUUCAAGAUGAGAAAAUCAACUUUAUUUGCGAUCCUAGUUAUCGUGUGCAUCUUGGGAAAUCUCGCAACGAUACAAGGAGUUCAUUUAAAUAGAGGUCGGAAAGGUAAAUCUCUGGACCAAACUGAGAAUGUUGUGUAUGCUGAUAUUGAUAGCAGAGAUACGGAUGCCGCAAAGGACAAUAUGAUUCACGAUGAUAAGUGAUGGAUGUCGUUUGAAUAUACUCGUAUUCACAAGUGUCAAUUUAUCGUAAUAGUUUCAUUUCUUUGUAUCAUGUCAUUGUACUGAAAUGAUAAUUGAUUCUGAACCAUAAUAUGUAAACAUAGUUUGGAUUAUUCCUCUUGUUCAAAUAAAAGCAUUUAAAAAACUUUA